RNAcentral lists this ribosomal RNA (433 nucleotides) under uncultured bacterium. RNAcentral describes it as "partial 16S ribosomal RNA". It matches the Rfam family "Bacterial small subunit ribosomal RNA", at positions 29 to 507 of the family's 1533-position model. The record is from RNAcentral.
AACGAACGCUGGCGGCAUGCCUAACACAUGCAAGUCGAACGAGACCUUCGGGUCUAGUGGCGCACGGGUGCGUAACGCGUGGGAACCUGCCCUUAGGUUCGGAAUAACUCCCCGAAAGGGGUGCUAAUACCGGAUAAUGUCUUCGGACCAAAGAUUUAUCGCCUUUGGAGGGGCCCGCGUUGGAUUAGCUAGUUGGUAGGGUAAAAGCCUACCAAGGCGACGAUCCAUAGCUGGUCUGAGAGGAUGAUCAGCCACACUGGGACUGAGACACGGCCCAGACUCCUACGGGAGGCAGCAGUGGGGAAUAUUGGACAAUGGGCGAAAGCCUGAUCCAGCAAUGCCGCGUGAGUGAUGAAGGCCUUAGGGUUGUAAAGCUCUUUUACCCGGGAUGAUAAUGACAGUACCGGGAGAAUAAGCUCCGGCUAACUCCGUG